CAAGUCGAACGAUUAAAGCCCCUUCGGGGGUGUAUAAAGUGGCGAACGGGCGAGUAAUGCGUUUCUAACGUGCCCCGAGGUCGGGGAUAGCUGGGGGAAACCCCAGGUAAUACCCGAUGACCCCAUCGGAUCGCAUGGUUUGAUGGGCAAAGGCUUGCUGCCUCGGGAUCGGGAAACGUCCUAUCAGGUUGUUGGUGAGGUAACGGCUCACCAAGCCAGAGACGGGUAGCGGGUGUGAGAGCACGACCCGCCGCAUCGGGACUGAGACACUGCCCGGACUCCUACGGGAGGCUGCAGUAACGGAUAUUGGGCAAUGAGCGCAAGCUUGACCCAGCAAUGCCGCGUGCAGGAUGAAGCCCCUCGGGGUGUAAACUGCUGUCAGGGUUUAGGAAGCAAGUGACCAAACCCAAAGGAAGGGCCGGCUAACUUCGUGCCAGCAGCCGCGGUAAUACGAAGGGCCCGAGCGUUAAUCGGAAUCACUGGGCUUAAAGGGUGCGUAGGCGGAAACGUCAGUGUCUUGUGAAAUCCCACGGCUCAACCGUGGAACUGCAGGGCAUACUGCGUUUCUUGAGGCCGGUAGAGGUCGUCGGAACUCUAGGUGUAGCGGUGAAAUGCGUAGAUAUCUAGAGGAACGCCAAAGGUGAAGACAGGCGACUGGGCCGGUUCUGACGCUGAGGCACGAAAGCGUGGGGAGCAAACAGGAUUAGAUACUCUGGUAGUCCACGCCGUAAACGUUGUGCACUAGAUCCGGGAGGUUUUGACGCCGUCCGGGUCGAAGAGAAAUUGAUAAGUGCACCGCCUGGGGAGUACGGUCGCAAGGCUAAAACUCAAAGGAAUUGACGGGGGCUCACACAAGCGGUGGAACAUGUGGCUUAAUUCGAGGCAACGCGAAGAACCUUAUCCAGGGUUUGACAUGCAUGGAUUAACCUCUGGAAACAGAGGCCACGCCCUUUGGGUGGAACAUGCACAGGUGCUGCAUGGCUGUCGUCAGCUCGUGCUGUGAAGUGUUGGGUUAAGUCCCUUAACGAGCGAAACCCCUGUCGUUAGUUGCCAGUAGGUUAUGCUGGGCACUCUAACGAGACUGCCGGUGUCAAACCGGAGGAAGGCGGGGAUGACGUCAAGUCCUCAUGGCCUUU
RNAcentral lists this ribosomal RNA (1136 nucleotides) under uncultured organism. RNAcentral describes it as "bacterial SSU rRNA". It matches the Rfam family "Bacterial small subunit ribosomal RNA", at positions 58 to 1203 of the family's 1533-position model. The record is from RNAcentral.